RNAcentral lists this ribosomal RNA (458 nucleotides) under uncultured Acidobacteriota bacterium. RNAcentral describes it as "bacterial SSU rRNA". It matches the Rfam family "Bacterial small subunit ribosomal RNA", at positions 38 to 528 of the family's 1533-position model. Lineage: Bacteria; Pseudomonadati; Acidobacteriota. The record is from RNAcentral.
GGCGGCGCGCCUAACACAUGCAAGUCGAACGAGAAAGUGGAGCAAUCCAUGAGUACAGUGGCGUACGGGUGAGUAACACGUGGGUGAUCUACCUCUUAGUGAGGAAUAACCCUGGGAAACCGGGGCUAAUACCGCAUAAGCCUGAGAAGGGAAAGCAGCAAUGCGCUGAGAGAGGAGCCCGCGGCCGAUUAGCUAGUUGGUGAGGUAAAAGCCCACCAAGGCAGAGAUCGGUAGCCGGCCUGAGAGGGCACACGGCCACACUGGCACUGAAACACGGGCCAGACUCCUACGGGAGGCAGCAGUGGGGAAUCUUGCACAAUGGGGGCAACCCUGAUGCAGCGACGCCGCGUGAGCGAUGAAGCCCUUCGGGGUGUAAAGCUCUUUCGUCAGGGAAGAUCAUGACGGUACCUGGAGAAGCAGCUGCGGCUAACUACGUGCCAGCAGCCGCGGUAAUACGU